This 164-nucleotide ribosomal RNA is filed under the name uncultured bacterium. RNAcentral's name for it is "partial 16S rRNA". It matches the Rfam family "Bacterial small subunit ribosomal RNA", at positions 355 to 511 of the family's 1533-position model. The record is from RNAcentral.
UAGGGAAUCUUCGGCAAUGGACGAAAGUCUGACCGAGCAACGCCGCGUGAGUGAAGAAGGUUUUCGGAUCGUAAAACUCUGUUGGUAGAGAAGACGUUGGUGAGAGUGGAAAGCUCAUCAAGUGACGGUAACUACCCAGAAAGGGACGGCUAACUACGUGCCAG